Molecule: long non-coding RNA, 559 nt
Filed under: Helianthus annuus (common sunflower)
Lineage: Eukaryota; Viridiplantae; Streptophyta; Magnoliopsida; Asterales; Asteraceae
Description: sRNA HanXRQr2_Chr04g0166571
Source: RNAcentral
AUGCUGGGCAUGAAAUCAGGUUGCGCGGUUUUACAGUUCUCUUCUGGAUUGGGCCUUGCGCCUCUUCAUGGGAAGUGGUGGGACUCGCGCGAGGUUGCCAGUAAGAGAAUUGCUGAAUAAGGAGUAUGGCCUCGCGCACGGCCUUGAAGAAGGUUUGCGCGGCUUUUUUGGGGCCAUACCCCUUCAGAUUUUUAACUUUCUUUUUUCUUAAACAAGAUAAAACAAACAUUAAUAAAAUAUAACACGUGAUAAAAAUCCAUAAUCAACUAUAGCAUCAUAUUUGAUCGAGCACAAUCCUGCUUUAAAUAACUUAAUUCGCAUGAAAUAUUUUCUUGUACUCAUAAGCCUUCAGAGAGUAUAAAUGUGUGUGUAUAUAUUGUUUUGAUAUCAUCUCAUUGUUUAAGAUUAUACCAUCAAUUUUCUCUCAUACACUUUUAGCAUCUUUUGAAUCUUUUACACUAAAUUAAAAUAAGUAAGAUUAACGAGUUGAUAAUGACAAAAUUAAAGAGGAUGUCCACACCCAUUAGCCUCUCAUUGGUGUUCGCUUUUUUAUUACUUC